GUUAAGCGACUAAGCGUACACGGUGGAUGCCUAGGCAGUCAGAGGCGAUGAAGGGCGUGCUAAUCUGCGAAAAGCGUCGGUAAGGUGAUAUGAACCGUUACAACCGACGAUACCCGAAUGGGGAAACCCAGUGCAAUUCGUUGCACUAUUGCAUGGUGAAUACAUAGCCAUGCAAGGCGAACCGGGGGAACUGAAACAUCUAAGUACCCCGAGGAAAAGAAAUCAACCGAGAUUCCCCUAGUAGCGGCGAGCGAACGGGGAAGAGCCCAGAGUCUGAAUCAGUUUGUGUGUUAGUGGAAGCGUCUGGAAAGUCGCACGGUACAGGGUGAUAGUCCCGUACACAAAAACACACUUGCUGUGAACUCGAUGAGUAGGGCGGGACACGUGACAUCCUGUCUGAAUAUGGGGGGACCAUCCUCCAAGGCUAAAUACUCCUGACUGACCGAUAGUGAACCAGUACCGUGAGGGAAAGGCGAAAAGAACCCCGGCGAGGGGAGUGAAAUAGAACCUGAAACCGUGUACGUACAAGCAGUGGGAGCACCUUCGUGGUGUGACUGCGUACCUUUUGUAUAAUGGGUCAGCGACUUAUAUUUUGUAGCAAGGUUAACCGAAUAGGGGAGCCGUAGGGAAACCGAGUCUUAACUGGGCGUCUAGUUGCAAGGUAUAGACCCGAAACCCGGUGAUCUAGCCAUGGGCAGGUUGAAGGUUGGGUAACACUAACUGGAGGACCGAACCGACUAAUGUUGAAAAAUUAGCGGAUGACUUGUGGCUGGGGGUGAAAGGCCAAUCAAACCGGGAGAUAGCUGGUUCUCCCCGAAAGCUAUUUAGGUAGCGCCUCGUGAACUCAUCUUCGGGGGUAGAGCACUGUUUCGGCUAGGGGGUCAUCCCGACUUACCAAACCGAUGCAAACUCCGAAUACCGAAGAAUGUUAUCACGGGAGACACACGGCGGGUGCUAACGUCCGUCGUGAAGAGGGAAACAACCCAGACCGCCAGCUAAGGUCCCAAAGUCAUGGUUAAGUGGGAAACGAUGUGGGAAGGCAUAGACAGCCAGGAUGUUGGCUUAGAAGCAGCCAUCAUUUAAAGAAAGCGUAAUAGCUCACUGGUCGAGUCGGCCUGCGCGGAAGAUGUAACGGGGCUAAACCAUGCACCGAAGCUGCGGCAGCGACACUUAGGUGUUGUUGGGUAGGGGAGCGUUCUGUAAGCCGUUGAAGGUGACCUGUGAGGGUUGCUGGAGGUAUCAGAAGUGCGAAUGCUGACAUAAGUAACGAUAAUGCGGGUGAAAAACCCGCACGCCGGAAGACCAAGGGUUCCUGUCCAACGUUAAUCGGGGCAGGGUGAGUCGACCCCUAAGGCGAGGCUGAAAAGCGUAGUCGAUGGGAAACAGGUUAAUAUUCCUGUACUUGGUGUUACUGCGAAGGGGGGACGGAGAAGGCUAGGCUAGCCGGGCGACGGUUGUCCCGGUUUAAGCAUGUAGGCGGAGUGACUUGGUAAAUCCGGUUGCUUAUCAACGCUGAGGUGUGAUGACGAGCCACUACGGUGGUGAAGUAGUUGAUGCCAAGCUUCCAGGAAAAGCCUCUAAGCAUCAGGUAACAUUAAAUCGUACCCCAAACCGACACAGGUGGUCAGGUAGAGAAUACUCAGGCGCUUGAGAGAACUCGGGUGAAGGAACUAGGCAAAAUGGUGCCGUAACUUCGGGAGAAGGCACGCUGGCAUUAGGUAAAGAGACUUGCUCUCGGAGCUGAAGCCAGUCGCAGAUACCAGCUGGCUGCAACUGUUUAAUAAAAACACAGCACUGUGCAAACACGAAAGUGGACGUAUACGGUGUGACGCCUGCCCGGUGCUGGAAGGUUAAUUGAUGGGGUCAGCCUUACGGCGAAGCUCUUGAUCGAAGCCCCAGUAAACGGCGGCCGUAACUAUAACGGUCCUAAGGUAGCGAAAUUCCUUGUCGGGUAAGUUCCGACCUGCACGAAUGGCGUAAUGAUGGCCAGGCUGUCUCCACCCGAGACUCAGUGAAAUUGAACUCGCUGUGAAGAUGCAGUGUACCCGCGGCAAGACGGAAAGACCCCGUGAACCUUUACUAUAGCUUGACACUGAACAUUGAGCCUUGAUGUGUAGGAUAGGUGGGAGGCAUUGAAGUGUGGACGCCAGUCUGCAUGGAGCCAACCUUGAAAUACCACCCUUUAAUGUUUGAUGUUCUAACUCGGCCCCGUGAUCCGGGGUGAGGACAGUGUCUGGUGGGUAGUUUGACUGGGGCGGUCUCCUCCCAAAGAGUAACGGAGGAGCACGAAGGUUAGCUAAUCACGGUCGGACAUCGUGAGGUUAGUGCAAAGGCAUAAGCUAGCUUGACUGCGAGAGUGACGGCUCGAGCAGGUACGAAAGUAGGUCUUAGUGAUCCGGUGGUUCUGAAUGGAAGGGCCAUCGCUCAACGGAUAAAAGGUACUCCGGGGAUAACAGGCUGAUACCGCCCAAGAGUUCAUAUCGACGGCGGUGUUUGGCACCUCGAUGUCGGCUCAUCACAUCCUGGGGCUGAAGUAGGUCCCAAGGGUAUGGCUGUUCGCCAUUUAAAGUGGUACGCGAGCUGGGUUUAGAACGUCGUGAGACAGUUCGGUCCCUAUCUGCCGUGGGCGUUGGAAGAUUGAGAGGGGCUGCUCCUAGUACGAGAGGACCGGAGUGGACGAAUCACUGGUGUUCGGGUUGUCAUGCCAAUGGCAUUGCCCGGUAGCUAAAUUCGGAAGAGAUAACCGCUGAAAGCAUCUAAGCGGGAAACUUGCCUCGAGAUGAGUCUUCCCUGGGGCUUUAAGCUCCCUGAAGGAACGUUAAAGACUAUGACGUUGAUAGGCUGGGUGUGUAAGUGCAGCGAUGCAUUGAGCUAACCAGUACUAAUGAUCCGUGAGGCUUAACC
RNAcentral lists this ribosomal RNA (2904 nucleotides) under Yersinia kristensenii. Its description in RNAcentral is "Bacterial large subunit ribosomal RNA". It matches the Rfam family "Bacterial large subunit ribosomal RNA". The record is from RNAcentral. Lineage: Bacteria; Pseudomonadati; Pseudomonadota; Gammaproteobacteria; Enterobacterales; Yersiniaceae.